GGUGAUGUCGGGGUCUUAUUUGUAUGACUGUGGAGUUAGUUUUUUUUUUAUCUAACUGAGGUCUGGUGGGCGAUGUCUGGGUCUUAUUUGUGUGACUGUGGAGUUAGUUUUUUUUAUCUAACUGGGGUCUGGUGGGUGAGGUCGGGGUCUUAUUUGUAUGACUGUGGAGUUAUUUUUUUUUUAUCUAACUGAGGUCUGGUGGGCGAUGUCUGGGUCUUAUUUGUGUGACUGUGGAGUUAGUUUUUUUUAUCUAACUGGGGUCUGGCGGGUGAUGUCGGGGUCUUAUUUCUAUGACUGUGGAGUUAGUUUUUUUUAUCUAACUGGGGUCUGGUGGGCGAUGUCGGGGUCUUAUUUGUGUGACUGUGGAGUUAGUUAUUUUUAUCUAACUGAGGUCUGGUGGGCGAUGUCGGGGUCUUAUUUGUGUGACUGUCUAGUUAGUUUUUUUUUUUAUCUAACUGAGGUCUGGUGGGCGAUGU
This is a long non-coding RNA of Thalassophryne amazonica, 476 nucleotides long. RefSeq lists it as uncharacterized. NCBI's taxonomy places the organism in Eukaryota, Metazoa, Chordata, Actinopteri, Batrachoidiformes, Batrachoididae. The transcript is spliced from 3 exons. The record is from RefSeq and is a predicted model, not a curated record.